This 417-nucleotide ribosomal RNA is filed under the name uncultured bacterium. RNAcentral's name for it is "partial 16S ribosomal RNA". It matches the Rfam family "Bacterial small subunit ribosomal RNA", at positions 360 to 774 of the family's 1533-position model. The record is from RNAcentral.
AAUAUUGGUCAAUGGAGGCAACUCUGAACCAGCCAUGCCGCGUGCAGGAUGACGAUCCUAUGGAUUGUAAACUGCUUUUGUACAGGAAGAAACCCAACUACGUGUAGUUGAUUGACAGUACUGUAAGAAUAAGGACCGGCUAACUCCGUGCCAGCAGCCGCGGUAAUACGGAGGGUCCGAGCGUUAUCCGGAAUUAUUGGGUUUAAAGGGUUCGUAGGCGGUCAGAUAAGUCAGUGGUGAAAUUUCUUAGCUUAACUAAGACACUGCCAUUGAUACUGUUUGACUUGAAUUAUAUGGAAGUAACUAGAAUAUGUAGUGUAGCGGUGAAAUGCUUAGAUAUUACAUGGAAUACCAAUUGCGAAGGCAGGUUACUACGUAUUGAUUAACGCUGAUGAACGAAAGCGUGGGGAGCGAACA